UACAGAGGUCCCAAGCGUUGUUCGGAUUCACUGGGCGUAAAGGGUGCGUAGGUGGCAGGGUAAGUUUGAUGUGAAAUCUCCGGGCUUAACCCGGAAACUGCAUUGAAUACUAUCCUGCUAGAGGAUUGGAGGGGGGACUGGAAUUCUCGGUGUAGCAGUGAAAUGCGUAGAUAUCGAGAGGAACACCAGUGGCGAAGGCGAGUCCCUGGACAAUACCUGACACUGAGGCACGAAAGCUAGGGGAGCAAACAGG
RNAcentral lists this ribosomal RNA (253 nucleotides) under uncultured bacterium. Its description in RNAcentral is "partial 16S ribosomal RNA". It matches the Rfam family "Bacterial small subunit ribosomal RNA", at positions 524 to 776 of the family's 1533-position model. The record is from RNAcentral.